Molecule: long non-coding RNA, 668 nt
Organism: Cucurbita maxima (winter squash)
Lineage: Eukaryota; Viridiplantae; Streptophyta; Magnoliopsida; Cucurbitales; Cucurbitaceae
Exons: 3
Source: RefSeq, a predicted model, not a curated record
CUAAAGGCGUCCUUAGGUGAUCUCGUAAUUCCUAUAGGGUGGAGACGAUGGGGUCAUAUAAUAAAGUUUUUUUAUGGCUAAAUUACUGUGUCAAACUCUGAGGAGAAACAUGCAUUUUUGAGUUUAAAAGUGCUUUUGCUUUGUCGAAUAUCAGGUUGCUGACCCAGAAUAUUUUUCAGGGGCCUAACAACUUUUUGCAAGAUGGGUCCACAAGCCACAAUCAUAUUCAUAGCCUGGGAGAAGUCCAUUUUCAUGCCAUUUCUUUCUCAAUCGAGAUCUUAGCUGCCCGAUCACCCCAUCGAACAUUGGGGUGGCUUCUAGGAAGGUUGUUUAUAUAUUUAACUUGCAUUGACAACGUCAGGCUAUGACAUGAAGGAAGGUGAGAAAAAUCCAUUCGAUUUUUGUUUCACCUUCAUCCUCUAGAGGUCAAACUCAAGUCUAGUCUAGCUCGACGAAGCUUCGCAUGCAGUGUAAAAUAAGUUUCCUGAAGGCUUAAUUGGUUAGAGACAUAUUGAAGUGGCAGUCCUUCCUUGAUUUACAAUUUAAUUGAAUUCAAAGGGAGUUGGCUUUGGUUUUGGUUUGGAGUUGGACUACAGCUAUCAUGACAGGCGCUGAAUGAGCACAUUGAACUAUUCAUGUGGCUGAAAGCCCUCACAACCUAGGCACAA